RNAcentral lists this ribosomal RNA (527 nucleotides) under uncultured bacterium. Its description in RNAcentral is "bacterial SSU rRNA". It matches the Rfam family "Bacterial small subunit ribosomal RNA", at positions 365 to 883 of the family's 1533-position model. The record is from RNAcentral.
UGGACAAUGGGGGGAACCCUGAUCCAGCCAUGCCGCGUGUGUGAAGAAGGCCUUUUGGUUGUAAAGCACUUUAAGCGAGGAGGAGGCUUACCUAGUUAAUACCUGGGAUAAGUGGACGUUACUCGCAGAAUAAGCACCGGCUAACUCUGUGCCAGCAGCCGCGGUAAUACAGAGGGUGCGAGCGUUAAUCGGAUUUACUGGGCGUAAAGCGUGCGUAGGCGGCUUUUUAAGUCGGAUGUGAAAUCCCCGAGCUUAACUUGGGAAUUGCAUUCGAUACUGGGAAGCUAGAGUAUGGGAGAGGAUGGUAGAAUUCCAGGUGUAGCGGUGAAAUGCGUAGAGAUCUGGAGGAAUACCGAUGGCGAAGGCAGCCAUCUGGCCUAAUACUGACGCUGAGGUACGAAAGCAUGGGGAGCAAACAGGAUUAGAUACCCUGGUAGUCCAUGCCGUAAACGAUGUCUACUAGCCGUUGGGGCCUUUGAGGCUUUAGUGGCGCAGCUAACGCGAUAAGUAGACCGCCUGGGGAGUAC